UGACUGGUAACACGGAAAAUGACGGGC
Molecule: non-coding RNA, 27 nt
Filed under: Rattus norvegicus (Norway rat)
Lineage: Eukaryota; Metazoa; Chordata; Mammalia; Rodentia; Muridae
Source: RNAcentral